UAGAUCCUUAUUUGAAGAAUCCAGAAUACUUUGAAAUGAAAAGAGCAGGACACAGGAUGAAAAGCAAGAGAUGGCUAAUGUCUGCAAAAUACAAGAGCCCUGAAUAACCAUCCUCGCCGGUGAAUAAACAAAGGACAGAUUGGACUUUUUGAAGGAAGCACACUUUGCUUCAUGUAAUGCAAGAGUGGCUAAAGGGCUGGCUAGAUGCAAAGGAGAAGAUUGUGGAUUGGAAGAAGUAUAUCAGAGGAAGGCAUAUGAUUCACAUUUCAGUAUAGACCCAACAGAUGAAAAUAUUCAAAUCUAUAAAAAAUGCUCUUCUAAAGUA
This is a long non-coding RNA of Herpailurus yagouaroundi (jaguarundi), 325 nucleotides long. RefSeq lists it as uncharacterized. The record is from RefSeq and is a predicted model, not a curated record. The transcript has 4 exons. Lineage: Eukaryota; Metazoa; Chordata; Mammalia; Carnivora; Felidae.